CUUGUCCUCAUCAUCAUCAUGUUGGUCUAUCAGGAUUUACUCACCGGUACACACAAUUUUGACUUUUGUUUUUCUGGUUUUACGAAUGAAUUUGUAGUUCUAUAGAUGUGUGAUCUGAUUGAGUUGCUUUUGCUUUCUGGGCUUGAUUUUUAGUUAUGUAUAACGGGUUUUCGAUAGGGUUUUUGCAAGGUUAAUUUCUAGAUCUGUGUUAGAUUGAAUCUGUAGUUUGCUCUGAGGUGGCCUUUAGUUUUUGAGGGGUUUGAUGGUUAAUUGGAUUCUGAAUUGUUACCAAUGGUUUAAUUUUUCUUUGUUUUUGCUCUUACUGAUUGUUUGUGAUUUGAUUCCUAUUAAAAAUUAAGUCUUUUUUAAAUUUCCGUGUUAAAGAUUAAGUCUUUUUCGCAUGCGCUCGGGAAUUGGUUGAUUACAGAACUUAUCUUUUGGUGCAAAAGGUCAGCGGAAUUGUUUGGUUGUCGCAGUUUUUAGGUGGAUAUACACGUGUUGUUACUAUUGAGAGUGGAUAUCUACCCGGUUUUUGACAUCCCCCUCCCAAAACACCAGUUGGUCUUUCUGCCUAUGAACAUUUUGGAAUGGGUUGGAGAAAGGCUGAUUCUGCUUUGUAACUUGGAUCGGAAGUCUGUGUGAAAUUUCUUUUGUUAUUGAAUUGAUAGAGUGGGACUAAACUUUCUCUUGGAUAUAAAAAGAGAUUUAAAAGAAGGAUUGUGCUCAUUUUAAUUAAUCCGAUUUUGUACUAUUAGCUAUUGCUGAUUAAUGUCCCCUGCUACUUUCUCUUACACCGGCUUUUAAGAGUAUGUUUUGAUUUGUUUUGGUGAAUCUUGUGUUUAACUCUCUUCUUGAUUCACUUCUAUGAUUGUGUAGGUGAUGAGCUUCUCUCGGACUCAUUUCCAUACAAGGAAAUUGAGAACGGGAUCCUCUGGGAAGUUGAGGGAAAGGUGAAAAUUGUUCUCUUUUCUGUUUAACUUGCUUAAUUUUGGAAAAGAUCUGAAUUUCUAUUAUGAUGAUCAUUACUUGUGCAAGCAUUAUGACUUGUCUAUUGUUGGUAUGUUGGCAACCAAUGAGUUUCUUAUUCCAGCAUCUUUUUACCUUACAUAAGAGUAUAAAUGAUUAAGAGUUUUGUAAAGUCUGAUUUACUGCAAAUUUGUAAAUUCCAGUGGGUUGUCCAAGGAGCUGUUGAAGUAGACAUUGGUGCAAACCCUUCUGCUGAAGGUUGUGGAGAGGACGAGGGUGUUGAUGACCAGGCUGUGAAGGUGGUGGACAUAGUUGACACAUUUAGGCUCCAGGUUUUUGUCUGAUUUUACUAUUUGGAUGAGGUUGACUAUUGCAUUUAGGGAAUAUGAAGCUAAUUUAUUACCUUGCAGGAGCAACCUCCUUUUGACAAGAAGCAAUUUGUUGCAUACAUAAAGAAGUAUAUCAAGUUGUUGACGCCAAAGAUAGAUGCAGAGAAGCAAGAGCAUUUUAAGAAGAAUAUUGAGGGCGCAACCAAGUACUUGCUCUCAAAGCUCAGUGACCUCCAAUUGUGAGUGCAACCUCCUUUAAUGCCCCCUCGUUCACUUUCCUUUCUUUUUCUUAUUUUUCUGCCUGUAAUUCUUUGGAAGUAUUUGAUUGUUUGAGCACACUGCAAAUUAGAGUUUUUAUACUAAAUGGUCAAGGUUCACUCAUGUUGACAGUUUUGUGGGGGAGAGCAUGGCCGAUGACAGUACCUUGGUGUUUGCUUACUACAAGGAUGGUGCCACCGAUCCGACUUUCUUGUAUUUUGGCGUUGGCCUGAAGGAGGUCAAGUGCUAGAUAAAAAUAAUGUUGUCUUUGGGCUUUGAGAGGGACUGGUGCUUGCUGUAGUUUUAGUAGUUGUUAUUGCAUUUUUGAUCUGUGUACUUUGCAACUUAUCGAGUUUCCUUGACUAUUAAUGAUUGUUUUUCCUGGAUCAGAGGUAUCUUAUAAUUUACAAAAUUCUCUAAUUAUUCUUGGUAAUGUUACCCGCGCCCAUUAGCGUGUCUUUGUAAAGCUUUUUCUGCCUCCCUUUUAGCUAAUUGGCGUGUUUAGAAAUUAUAAUAUUACUCAGGGAUUGAGUUGAUUGCUCAGGAUUUAUGGUAAGUUCAGAAAAAUCUCAAAGAUUAUAUAUCUCGAGCAUCGGUCGAGUGUAUCUGCAUACUUGUAGAUAUACAUCUAUUUUUAUUUGGCAAAUAUGUCGGCUACACAUUGUAAAGAUCAAACACCUGAUAACCGGUAUAAUGCAGCACUGUGACUAUUAGUCCCAAAAUCUGAGAUCCAGUCUAUGGGAUGCAUUGAAUACAAGUCACAAGACCAUUGGGUUAAUCCUAGGAUGGGCAGGUAAUUUUACGAAGAAAAAGCAAGGUACUUGUAUGAGGGCUUGAGCUCGCUACUAUGUCGAUGAAGAACAGCAAAUGAGACUGCUGCAUCCUAUGUUAAGUGAUGCGCUGAUGGUCAUCUGGGCAGGCAGCCAAAAGCGUGACCCGGAAAACUCGAAACCGCUUUGUCAUAUGAUUGAUCAAGUCUCGAGAGGGAGGGUCCCUGGUGGUGUAUGUUAGGCUUCUUCCUUGGGUGGUGUACUUUAGGCUUCUUCCUUGGGUGGUGAGUUUAACCUCGUAGGAAAGAUGGAAGGCUAUCCAUUACAAUUAGCGUGUCUCUGUAAAGCUCUUUCUGCCUCAUUUUAGUUAAUUUUCAUGUUUAUGGAUUAAGCUUUAUUCAAAUUCUCAGAAAUUAUGGUAAGUGUAAGAAGGAAGAAAAAAAAACUGUAUAUCUUGGAACAGUGAUCGAGUGUGUCGCAUAGGACUAUAAUGUGUCUGCAUACUUGUAAGAUCAAACACCUGAUCACUGGCUACCAAAAGGGUUAAAACAUCCUGAGACUAUUAGUCAUAAAAUCUUAAUCCCAGUCUGAAGGAUGAAUCAAAUCAAAGUUAAAGACCAAUGGGUUAAUCCCAUAGUAGGUUUUUAGUUUUACAAUAUCAUAUAUAAUUAACCCUGUCAGCUAUUAAAAGAAGAAAACAAAUGCUUCUUCCAACAAAAAAUAAAAAUAAAAAAAAGAAGGAAAUACUCUUAUUCUGGCAUGAGCUCACUACUGAUGACUGGAUUGACCAAUUGCUUAAACACUAAACUUGCAGCAUUGAAGAAGAUCAGCGAAUAGAAGAUUACUGUAUCCUUGUAUUCUUUGAUGGUCAUUUAGGGAGUCAGUCAAAAACUUGAUCUGGAAAACUGAAACCUCUUUGCCAUCUGAUUGAUCGAAAAGGAGGGCCUGGGCUUUAGUGGUGUACUUUAGGCUGCUUCACGAUCAUCACAGAGCAGUGAGCAUGGUGGGAGCAGUGAUCGCUGACGCUGCCCAGAACAACCCUGCAGAAUUAACAAGGUUGAGUUCAGGGAUUCAUUGGUACCAUCUUUUAAAGACUUGAAAAUAGGUUCACCUUUUCAAAGCCCCAUAUCCAUGGCUACCGAGAACCAAGAGAGAUGCAUGAUGUUUGUCAACGGCAUCACACAUGACCAUCCUGGCAUCCCCUUCGAUCACUUCAAAUUCUGCAUCUUCCACCUGCAUAGAAAAUUAUGAUUGGCUUAUCGUAAUCAUGCAUCAGGCUCUUAUCAAACUACAGAAACUUUGCACUAUACAAAAAUGAUGCUCAAAAUUUUCAGCUUCCUCACUCCUUUUUCCUUGCAGAGCUCCUUAGCUUGCUCGAUAAGCCUUUCAGCUGUCCUCUUCAGGUCGGCUUCCACAAGUGGUAGCACGUCCGUGGAUCCUACAAGCAAACAAAAUCUUGUUAAUGCAAACAAGAGCAUGCCUUAAUGCCUAAAAGUUUAUUCGAUUGUAUGCAUGAAAAUGAAAAUCUGUCAGAUGAAAGGGUUACACAAUUGACAAGCUUCCUUUUAUCUCUGAAAUUUUAUGAAAAGAAAAGAGGUAAUAUUCAUUUACCAGGUCCUGCAAGUCCAAUGACAGACGUAGGAGGAUAUUUGGCAUGGACAAUAACGAGCUUGAACAGGGCAUUCGAUGUAGGAGUAAAGAAAUGCUCAAGGGUCCACUUAAGAGCAUAAAAGCUAUGCUCACUAUCAUCAAUUGCAAGAAGCAUCACUUGUUUCCCACCCGCCAUUGUUGUUUAUUUGUUGAUUAAUUUGAUGACUUCAAUCAGUCUUCUCGUUGAAUGGAAAAAGUGCUGAGUAUGAUUUAUGAAUGACCUGAUCGCAUCCCAUUUGAUCAUUUAUAUAGGCAUUCUGGGAUCCGCAGGCUGUUAGAUUUGCAACGACGAUGUCCUUUCCCAAUCCGUUGAAUUCGGAUUGAAUGUCGGAAUUUCGCGACGAGUGACGGAGUUCUUAAGGAAACCAAUUUUUUCUCCUGAAGACUUGGUCUCUGUCCAAUGCACGGCAGAUAAACCAGGCAAAGUUUGUUGUACUGUUGUCCUUCAAGUUCCUGGUCAACUAGCUCUUUGGGUUUGUUUUUCCGUUUUAACCAUCUUUUUUUUAAGCAUCAAUGAAAAGAAAGAUGUUGCAUUCAGUUCCUACAAAUUCUGAUGUUUCAAUUUAUUGAACUCUUUUUUUUUUUUUUUUUCUUUAGUGAAAUGUUCCCUGUUUCGUUUCUGGAUUUUCUCUUUUUUACCUCUGUCUUCACAUAACAGAGCAUCUUUAAUGAAAUGUAAUAUACUACUUGCUAUAUUUGCUGCAAGGCCUUGGAGAAUUGUUUGCUAUAUUAAAAUUAAGUUGCAUUUGUUACAAAUCGUCAAAUUGAAUGGAUUUUUUCAAAUUGUUAAACCUGUAUAAAUCGAUUGGAAUUGUCAUCAAACAUAAUAUACACUUUUCCUAUCUAUUUUAUUUAUGCGUUAAUACUUGCUUUUUAUUACAACAAAUUUUUUCCUUUUAUUAACCAGCAAUGCAUUAAGAUGCUCUUUAUAAUAUAUUUACGCAUGACACUUAACUCAUAAACAAUCUUUCAAAUUUUGUUACCUUUAAACACUUUAGAGUGGGUAGACACAGCCAGGCCUUACUAGUAUAUAUAAUAUACGUAUAUCUUCUCACACAAAAUUGGAGAGAAGACCAGAGAGGGCCUUUAUAUUCGUUACGUGUUGGGUUGUGUAAUCAACCCCCCAACCUAUUUAUGUUCACCCUUGUCUUUGUAUAUCUUACUUGGCCUCCAACUUAUUUUGUCAAAAGCAAAAAUUCACUCUUAUUUAUUAAUUUGCAGAAAAUCAUCCUACGUGACCAAAGAAUUUCGCUGCCAUGGCCGCGACCGACGACGAUCUUGAAUCUAAAAGGGUAGUUUUAACAGUUUCAACGACCGUGACUUCAAAUUCGGACGGAGUAUGCAUAUUCCAUUCAAAUAUACUCGGACAAAUUGUUUGGAUUGCAGUUUUCUGUCGAAAAAUUACGUUAUUUUUCGUAAUCAUAUUUCUCUAUUACCUUUUUCCCUCGCAUACAUCAAAUCGUUACGGUAAUUUUUCCAUGAAAAAUCAUGGAAAAUGCAAUCCAUACACAACAAAUUUCUUGUUACUUUGUCGGACAAAAUUUAUUAUUUUCUUCAAUCAGUCCCUUCUUAGUUUCCGCAAUCAAGUUACAAACCAUCUGUAAGUAGAAAUCCUCUCUUCUGCUGGCUUAAUUGUAAUUACCAUUUGAUAUCAUUAGAUGUUUCCAUUUCCAUUAGAUAUAAUCAGAUAUUUCCAAGAAAAUUGGGUUCUAUUCUCAUGUAUUUCAUCUGUAUCCACCGGUAUUCAUUGAUUAAUUAUUCAACGCCAUCAUGAUUGCUUUGUCAACUUGGACUAUGAUAUCCUAAUUUCAGAUUACGCCACAUGCAGAGCCUAAUAACAGAUGCUCACCUUGUGAGAUCCAUCAUAUAUUAUUAUAACCCAAGUUUUGAUCUUAUGAAUAAGCUAAUUAAUAACUGCAAAUAAGGCCAUUAGUGUUAAUAAUAUAUACCAGCACUGCAUCAUUGCUAAUCUUUGGGAAGUUGGUGCAUCAUAGCUUAUAGCGCACAGGGUGGUGGGAGCUAAUUACCAGCUAAAGAGUCUCAGUGGAUGGAUGAAACCAACUUUCAUUCAAAUUGCACUCUUAAUCGUUGAAUCUCAUCAACCCCACCCCACAUACUUUAAGUAAAAGCAAGGCUUUUUUUUUUUUUUUUUUUUUGCAAAAGAAGUGUACGGCAAGCCAUGAUAAGUUAGGUAAUUUAUAUGCACAUCUUUGUAUACUUGGAUUCAAAAGUGCUUAAGGCUCCACGUUUGAAAUACGCAAGUAUGCAUCAUUCUUCUUCUUUGUUGCCCACCUAAUCAAACUCGUCCAAGAAGACUUCUUUUCUUUUUGUCUAAUUGAAGUGGCUAGGUUGAUUUAAAAAGAACAGAAAAUUCUCAGUUAACUUUGAUCCAUGUAAAACUCAUGUACUAAACCUUGCGCAAUGUAGAUUAGAUUAGUUAAGUACAACACAUAAACCGUUAACGUUGACACGAUAAGUUUACAAGAUGCUAUAACAUUUAGUGAAAAGACUUUGGACAUGUAUUAAAGAUAAUGGAAGAAUAGAGCAUAUUGAGGAAUCCCUCAUACUUUCAUAUAUUUUUUUCCACUUAGGGGGUGUUCCAGCCUUUUUUUUUUUUUUUUUGCCAGACUAAUCCCCUUAAACCCAACAGAGCCCUAUCCAAGGAUGUUAGCAAUUUUACCACAGCGAAGGUCGAACACGGGAUCUUACCGUAAAGACGGACUUAUCAGUCCUCGUGGGUGCUCGUACUUUCAUAUUUAGUACAGCUUGAUUUGUGUGUGGAAAUAGCUAUGAUCAAGAUUAUCAAGAUUUUCAAUUCAGAAUUUUCGAAAAGAAAAGGCAAAAAUUAUUUGAACAGCAACAUAGGCAUCAGACUAGCUGCAAAUUGCAUUUCUGCCAAACUUCUCAUAAUAGUUGCAUGUGAUGGAAAUGUAGCACCUCCUGUCCUGCCAACCAACUCAUUGGAUUAGGACGGAGGGCUGCCACUAUUCGGGUGGUUCGCAUUAAUUAACUUCAAUCAACUUGGAAUUAAAUUGACCAUUAAUUUAUACUAGUAUGUACUACUCCUUUGCCAUGAAUGCACACACUAUCACUAUGUAUAGAGAAGAAAAGAAAAAAGAAAAACAAAAGAAUAAAAGAUAGCAAGAAACUGAUUAAGGAUCUUCCUAAAUAUAGAAUAUAGUCUAUCUGAGAGGCCGGCAGUCAAAAGCAUCUUGCAAACCCCUAGCGUCCAUUUCCACCUAAAACAUUUAAAUAAAGGAAACUCCUAGUCCAUAUCAUAUUACAACCUCAGAAUGAGUACAGAGUUGUUCAGAUUUUCUUCCUUGUAAUUAUAUACCAAUUGUCUCCCGAAAACAAGAACUUGGACACGAUUCUGUUGACUAUUACUACAAUCAAAUUUACUAACUUUUGCCUUGUUGAAUCAGCCCUUUUUUUUUUCUAAUCGUGAUUCAUUGUAAAGGGUCCACUCCAUUCCAUUGUAGUACAUCUGCAAGGUUCUUGGAUAAGGAAGCGAAUUAAGAUGACGAAGGUUCUUGGGAUCAGACAUUGCAUUGCCAAGAGAUCAGUGCUUCAGUUGCUUUUACACUAAAAUCCAGAGACCGCCUCACGUGUAUACUAUUCAAGUAAUUAAACAUCAAGAAUUGUUAUAGAUAAGAGAGUUCCACCCAACCAUGCCACCAAACCCCCCCCCCCCCAACCACAAAAACAACCUCCUACAAAACCCAAAAAAGAAAAAAGAAAAAGCGAAAUGGGUUCUAAGUUCCAACUUCUGAGCCGUGCAUAAUGUAUAGGUUUACAUAUUGAGCAGGCUGGCAAGCUUAAGAGCAUGAGUUGUCUGAUAAAACAUAAAUAGGUUCAAGAAAAAGAUAAAGAUCCCAUUAGGUUCUUUAGUUACGAGUCUUGGGUGGAACUCAAUGGCAGAAUUUCGCAUUUAUAACUGUUUUCCUUAUUUAAUUUGCCCAAUUUAUUUACCAGCUCUUUGAGUGGAGUUCACACAUCGAGGUUCUUGUUUGUUCUAUUUUGUGGGGUGGGGCAUUGACGCAUUGUUGAUAAGAAGAAGAUGAAUUUGCAUAUUCGAUUUAUCUAAACAGCAGAAAUGAAAAGUAAACCACCUCUUUUUGCUUUCUGAUUUUAACAUAGUAUAGGGUUAUUUUGUGGUCUUGGCAAGAAGUUAUUUAUUGUCUUCUAGCAUCUUUGUUUAUUUGGACCAUCAAUAUCCAUGGCAUUCAUUAGUGUUUAUGUAUAUAUAAUUUUUUGUCAGAUAAGAACUAUAAAGAGAGACCGGAGGGGGGGGGGGGGUUUCUCAAAAUCAAGAAAUGAUGAUAUUUUUAUGGUGGCAUCCGAAUCAAAUAGAUAUUUGAGCAUUUUUUCAACUAAAACCUGAAAAUAUCAGUCAGCCACAUACUAUAACAUGCUAAUAAGGUUCCAAAGAAAAAAAAAAAAGAAAGAACAGGAGAAUAUCAAAAUUUGAGUAUUUACAGUAGGUACUGGUGGAAUCAAGAAAGCGAUAAAAGUGGGAGUUGAUAUGUUUGAUAAAACUAAAAGUGGACAAAAAAAUGUCAUCACUCUGCCUAGUUACCUUGCCUUGAAAAUAAUGGGACAAGUCAGGUCAAUCAUCCCUGGCUGCUGCAGUGACGACAAGAGAAUCAGACUGCAUGCAAGUUUGAGCUAGCUAAGGGUAAAUUGUCUGCUGCCUCCAACUCCGAGAGUUAUAGAACUAUGCGUAUUGUACACUGUGCCCCAUGCCCAUGCCACAGCUGGUUUGGUCAGAGAUGCAGGAAAAUUACUCAGAUCUGUUUCUGAGAACAAUAAUGCCACAAGGGCACUAAAAUACUCUCUCUAUUUCACUAGCUUAGUUUAACCUACCCAAAAGACAAAAAAAAAGGGGUUUAGUUUAACUUGGUGUUCACAUAAUAGAACUGUAGUAUAAGAUGGGUAUAUUAAAAGGUGGAAACUUUUCUUGGCACAUUAAAAGGGUUUGAUGUCUUUAAAAGGGGGGCUACUGAUGCCUUCAUUUUCCUAUCUUAUUACCAGCUUGUAAUCAGGAAAGUGCUGAGAAUGGAAUGUCCAAUUUUUCUCCAUGACUUUGAUUAUAGUUUUUCUUUAUAGCACAAGCUUCCAAUCAAGGCAGCAUCCCAGAAGCUAUUCAAAACUGGGGAGGCCAUUUUGAAAAAUACAUCACUUGAAGGCAUGCAUAGUGGUUGAGAUUAAUGUCUCAGAAAUUCAAUUUAUUGGACUCAGAAUUUCUCUGAGUUCCUCUCUGCUCUUUAAAUCUAACCCUUUCCGGAGCUUUCAUUUUGUUUUAGUUUGCACCCAUUUUAUAAAAUCUUGCAAAUGGUAAUUUUUAGCUUUAUGGAGAAAAUAAGCAAGCAGGGUAAAGACUAAAGAUGUCAUUUCACAUACUCAAAUAUAGCCGUUUCAGUUUUCCCUUUUUUUUUUAAAAAAAAAAAAAAAAAAUCACCUUCCAAUAAAUACCUCCAACAAACGAGAUAUAUGGGAUUAGAAUAUAGAUUAUAGAUUAUACAGAUAUAAUUUCUCCAUCAGAACUUGCUUGUGUCUCCGGCUUGUGAUAAAAUACUAACCUCAGUUUCUCUCUGUUUCUCAUCCCUCCAAAGCAAUCCCAAAAACACGCACAACACCCACUCAAUUUCAUACACUUCAAAUUCUCUAUAUUUUCUUUACACCAUCAAGUUAGGGUUUUUUGCUCAUUUCUCCCAGAUCUAUUCCCCCAGUUAGCCUGAUUCAUUCCCCCAGAUCGCACAAUUCUCACUCUUCUCCGGCAUCCGGUGAUCUCCCUGUCCCCCGCUUUCGCUCCCUUUUUUUUUUGCGUCAUCUGUUGCGAAAUUUAUGCUUAGAUAUCGAGAUUCAAGAUAAGGUUUUUUAUUUUAAUUUCUGCUACCUAACAUGCAUUGUGGAAUUGAUCAUUUCUAGGGCGGAUUUUAACUCCGAUUAAUCUCAUUUCUGUGAUCACCGGCGAAAUUUCUGAUUUUGAAUUGGAUUUUGGGCGUUUCAAUUCGUUAAUGUGCCGCUUUGAUUCGGACUUUUCACCUCACUGUAAGUAAAAUUUAGCAUUUUAAAAAUUUUCUUCGGUUUUGGCAGAUUUUUAAGUGUUUUUAGGAAUUUAGCGGUGACUUGUAUUACCUUUUUUUUUUUUUGGUGGGAAAGCUUUGGGAAUUAGAUCUUGAAAAUUGGCUCCUCAGCGGCGAUCACAGCGCCACAUGGGUGGCCAGAUGCAGCAGAGCAACGCUGCCGCCACUGCUCUGUAUGAUCACCCCGGCAAUGGGGGCCCCGCCAGCGGUGAUGCUGGAGACGCCGUUAUGGCGCGGUGGCUUCAGUCUGCCGGGUUGCAGCAUCUGGCCUCUCCAUUGGCCUCUACUGGUAUUGAUCAUCGGCUCCUUCCUAACCUUCUCAUGCAGGUGCUUUUCUACCUAUAAUGUCUCUUCAAUUCUCAGCUUUCUAAAUUUCAAGGAAAUGUCUAAAAAGAUUGAACUUUUGUAUCGAACCAAAAGAAAGUGCACUGACUAAUUCUUUUUAGAAUCAGGUGCUUCGAUUGGUAUUAUCUGGGCAUUGAGGUUUUCAUACCUGAAACUUCUACUUAGAUUGAGAGUCUGUUAUUUAUGCUUUCACCUUCGAUCUUUGAAGUUAAAUGAUAUUUGAUAUGAGGACUCGCCAGAUUUUGCUUCAGAAUAUCUUAUUGUGUUUUCAUGAUUUUUUCCCCCUUUUUUUUGGGGGGAGGGGGAGGGGAAGGGAGAGGGAGGGAGAUAGGUCGCUUGAUAUCUUUUGAUGGUUCCUGGGUUUUCGUUAUCCUCGUUUGAUAAAUGGUAACUCGUACAGUUUCUUUCGGAAAUUGCUUUGUGUAAUUGGCUUUAUUUAAGGACAUUUCAUAGAAAUGAAAAAUCAUAUACUUUUGCAUUUUGCAUUUGAUAUGGAAGAAAUCUAAUUAUCAAAAAAAGAAAUAUCAAGUGCCAAAUCUUAUAUUUGCAUGUAUUUAUCCUAUCAGUUUAGCUAUAUUAUAUUAGUUCAUGAAUAACUGUAGAAACUUGAUAUUGUUUAAAAGGGCUAUGGAGCACAAUCUGCAGAAGAGAAACAAAGGCUAUUUAAACUAAUGAGAAACCUGAAUUUUAACGGUGAACCUGGUUCUGAGCCGUACACUCCUACCUCCCAAAGUUUGAGUGGGUUUGCAGCAUCAGAUGGCUUUUAUUCUCCUGAAUUUAGAGGGGAUUUUGGUGCUGGCCUUUUGGACCUACACUCUAUGGAUGAUACAGAGCUCUUAUCUGAGGUUUGAUUCUUAUUUAUCUGGUAUUCCUGAGUUUCGAAUUUGAUACAAUUGGGUGCUUCCUGCUGUACAUUCACUUGUCAAAGGGUUUGGAAUGAUAAUGUGCCAUUUUGGUUAUUUUAAAUUGUUAGUUCCCUUUAUAUGAUUUGGGAUGUUGGGCAUUUAUUUGAUAAGGGAUCUUUAGCAUUUACUCUCAGUUUUAGACAUCUUGUUUUUUCCUCAGUGCAAGUUAUUUCAAUGGAGAUUCUUAUUUGUUGAUCAGGUUUCUACACUAUGGCACAUGAUGACAUAUAUUAGAAUUACAUUCAAAUGAGGAAUUACAACAUGUCAGAUAUGUUUAUGAAAUUCUUUUGUGAAAGAAAAAUUAUGAGAUACGCUUUCACAUGAUUUUGGCUUUUGAGUAUUAGCUUCCUUGUUUAAUUUAGUGGCUAUCUAAAGACAGUUAAAUUUGGCUAUCUAAAGGCAGUUAAAUUUUAUGUGUAGAUUUACUAAAUUGUAAAUGUAGUCAUUUAUAAUCAUCUGGCAUGGUUAUGAAUUCUGACGUUGCUGUGAUGACAUUAUACUGCAGAAUUUGGGUGUGUAGUUGGUUGUUCAUAUCUAUUUGCUGACGGCUAAUACAUACUUAUGGUUGGUAUCUUUGAUUUCCUCUUUCAGCAUGUCAUUUCGGAACCAUUUGAGCCGUCACCUUUCAUGCCAGCUGUGAGUAAAGCAUUUGACAGUGAUUUUGAGGUGAUACCCAGUCAGCUUCAAAAAGGACAAACUGAUGCAGAUGUUCCAUCUGGAUUUCUUGCAAGUGAAAAAGAUAUAAACACAAGAGAAAACAAUGUGGCUAAGAUUAAAGUUGUGGUGCGUUGUUCUUGUUGCAAAACACUCUCCCCAACAUCCCUCUGUGUCUAUGCGUGGAUUUGUGUUUGGGUUUCUUUGUGUAAUUGGUGGGGUACAGAGUAUAUAUUUGGGCUACUGGUUUGUUGAUGGGACAUGGCAUUUAUGUGUGAACAAGAGUGUGAGCUGUCAUUUUGUUUUUGGUUUGGUCUGUAAAUUCAAGACCUGCUAGGAGCUGUGUAAGCCUUCGUAUUGUUGCAAGAGUUGUUGCUUUUGUUCUAUUUUUCUUCUACCAACCAUUUUCUAUGUGGCCUCAGUUUAAGCAUGACAAUGUUGCAUUUGCUGCAGUUCUUCUAUAUGUACACAUGUAUCUUUUAAUGCUUUUUCCAUCAGAAAGUUUAAUUACUAUUUCUUCUUGGGAUGUUGCUAAUGCAAACUUUCUAUGUUCCCAUCUGCUAAGAGAUUGGAAGUAAUAUCUUCAAAUGUGGGUUGCAGUGACAUAUACUUCCUUUUACGCUUCUGUCAUAUGCAAUUGCUGCUCAUGUGUUUAAUCAGAAAAAAGGACACACAUCCAUUUGUUACAAUCCUAAGAGUGUUGUCUACGUAAGUUGGACUGGAUGUCACAUUGAAAAGUUUAUUGUCAUUUCAAUUGUUUGAAAGUUUUGAUUUAGUAUUUGUUGAUCUAUUUUACCUCAUCUUCUGAUGAAGAUAUCCAACAAUCUCAAUACCAUACCAUAAAACUUCUCUUUCUUCCCGAAUUUUUAACUGAAGCAUCCAUAGAACCCUCCAUUUUUUUUUGUGGACACUAAAGAUCCUGUUAUUCCCAUGGAAUUCCCAAUUUGAAGUACAUUCAAACAAAAGGUUGGAAGUUUAUGGAGCUACAACCCCCUCUCUUAUAUUUUUUCUAAUAAAUACUUUUCAUCUACCAUAAGUACAUUGUUUAUGAUGCCUAAUCUUUGGUAGUAUUUCUUAUGAAAUAAGAUAACAUAAAAUUCUUGUACAAUAACAAUUUGCAGCAGAGAUUGAGUUUUAUUGCUGUUUUUAUGUAUACUGAUCUAUUUUGCCACUCUUUGCUGUUCUUGUGACAGGACAUUUCAUCUUAUAUUUUCAUGUUUGUCUUAGGUGCGUAAAAGACCUUUGAACAAGAAGGAAAUUGCUCGUAAAGAAGAUGACAUUGUAACUGUACAUGAGGAUGCUUAUUUGACUGUUCAUGAACCGAAGUUAAAGGUAUAUAUCUCAACCAUUUAAAAAUGAUGGCUUCAUAAUUUUUUACCAUGUCAUAGGAAAUUUAGGAUGAUGAAAGCUGAAUAUAAAAAUCAUGUUUCUUUCAUUUUGCUUUCUAGCCGCAUUAGUUAUGACACUAUCCAUAAUUUUAUUUUGAAGGUUGACUUGACUGCCUACGUUGAGAAGCAUGAGUUUUGUUUUGAUGCUGUUCUGGAUGAGCAUGUGACAAAUGACGAGGUAACACCCUUGAUGUUUGGGUAGCACAAAUUAGCCUUGAAUACUGCAUUGCUCUGAAAUUUCUGUGAAGAGAGUUCCUCUCUCUCUCCCUCUUUUUUUUGGGUUGGAGGGGGGGGGGUUGUAGUAAUUGUGAAUUUGGUUCAUAAAAGAAAAAAAAAAGUCUUUUAUCGUGCCUCUGUGCUGCUGUACUUAGGUGAUUCUCUCUCUCUCUAAUUGUGUGAGUCUUCCUUGGGGGUCAUCUGCGUGUCACUAGUAUGUAUUCUGCAUUUGUAGGCUGGGAAGUAACUGUUUUCAUUUUUGCAUCUUCUGUAAUAUGUCCACUUUUGUUUCUUUGACCCUUGAAGGUUUUAAGCCUUCUUUCUGUCAAUUGGAUCAGGUAUAUCGAGUCACUGUAGAACCAAUUAUUCCUACCAUCUUCCAGCGGACAAAAGCCACAUGUUUUGCAUAUGGCCAGACAGGUACUUUCUGUCUCUUUUGUUGGAUUGUUGGUUAUGAUCUUGUCCAUCGGCAACUUCUUAUGUUAAAAUGGUCUGAAUGACACAUAUUUCCUUACACCACCUCUCCUUAGUCAACUGUUGAGGGUGCAUGAUAGUUAGUUUCCUGUAGUUAUAGUGGUUUUGUGGACCUUUCUCUGAAUCAUUGACUAGUCAUGGGCCUCUGUUCAUUCUAAUCGUGUUAGAUACUACUAAAUUACAUUCUUCUCUCUUUUCCUUUGUGAUUUCUUCAGGGAGUGGCAAGACAUACACAAUGCAGCCAUUACCUCUUAGAGCUGCAGAAGACAUUGUUAGAUUGCUGCAUCAGCCAGUUUAUCGUAAUCAGAGAUUUAAGUUGUGGCUCAGCUUCUUUGAGAUAUAUGGCGGAAAACUUUUUGAUCUUCUCAGUGACAGGAAGUUAGUACUCUCUUUGGCGUUGUUAGGUUUCUUGCUUGAUGCAACAAUCAUGAGAAGUUCUCCAUUUAAGUGCUUGAUAAUGGUGAUGUUUGCUUGUUUUUGGUUACUCAUUUUCUUGUGCAAAUGCAGAAAACUGUGCAUGAGAGAAGAUGGACGACAACAAGUUUGCAUUGUUGGACUACAAGAAUUUGAAGUAUCUGAUGUCCAGAUUGUUAAAGAAUUUAUUGAGAGGGGAAAUGCGGCGAGAAGUACAGGUUCUACUGGUGCCAAUGAGGAAUCGUCGCGGUCACAUGCAAUAUUACAACUUGCUAUCAAAAAGCAUAAUGAGAUUAAAGACUCCAGGAGGAACAAUGACGGAAAUGAAUCCAGGAGCGGGAAGGUUGUUGGGAAGAUUUCUUUCAUUGAUCUUGCUGGUAGCGAGAGAGGUGCUGAUACAACGGACACUGACCGGCAAACACGGUAAUAAUUCCUGAAACUACUUUUGUUUUUUUGCAGAAUAGUGGGAAAUGUGUUUACAAGACUUGUCAUUCAAACCUUCUGCCGCAUGGGCAGGGAGUUGGAUCUCAGCCAUUUCCUCUUGAGUUUGAUCCGAUUUAACAUUCAUUUGGCUUUAUCUUUGACUUACCAAUGAGAAUGCCUUCUUAUUGCCUUGAUUAUGAGUGCCUAAAGUAGUACCUCGUCUUCAGAGAUUAGUUAUUUUUUCUUUGUUAAUUGCUUUCUGGCUAAAUAACGUAUUUUCUUCUCAAAAAAAAGUCUCUUCUUCUCUCUUACUUCUUUUUGAUGCUUCAAACAAAGUGUUUUACUUAGUUGAGCAAUUCUUCUUGUUUGUAUCACGUUAACUCAUUAUGUGCUUAAAAUAAGCUCCACUUUUGCACUCAAACGCUACUUUUAUUCUGUUUAAGGAUUGAAGGAGCAGAAAUUAACAAGAGUCUUUUGGCUCUUAAGGAGUGUAUUCGUGCCUUGGACAAUGACCAGAUCCAUAUUCCUUUUCGUGGGAGCAAACUUACUGAGGUGCUCCGUGACUCCUUUGUCGGCAACUCAAGGACUGUUAUGAUAUCGUGCAUUUCUCCUAAUGCUGGUUCAUGUGAACACACACUCAAUACAUUGAGAUAUGCUGAUAGGUAUCGUCAUCUCUUUGAGAUUUUUUUCCUUUUUUUGUGUGGUGGUGGGUAGGACCAAAUUUGAGUUAUAACAUAACAGUUUACUAUGUCACUAAAGCUCAUCAUAUGAACAGGGUUAAAAGUCUCUCCAAAAGUGGAAAUACAAAAAAGGAUCAGGGUUCAAGUUCAUUACCACCUUCCAGUACUAAGGAAUCCUCAUCAGCACCAUUUUCUUCUUUCUCUGCUGAUGUAGAGGAUUUGGUGGACCAACAUCAGGAAUCUAAAGCAGUGGAUAACAGAAGGGUUGUACAAAAGGAAUUUACUUCUUACAAUUCUUCAAGUGAUGUUGAUAAACAACCUUCUAGUUUUACAUCAAAUUAUACUUCUGGACUGGAGGAAAGUACAGCAACUUCCAGUGCUCCCGACAAGGAGAGGUCUGAUAUGAAAAACAGUCAUGGUGGUUCAAGUCAGAAAAUUAACUUGACAUCAUUUUCCCAAAUUGCAGCUGAUACAGAAGAGAAAGUGCAGAAAGUUUCUCCUCCACGUCGAAAGGUGUAUCCUCAGAUUCCAGUCGAUACAGAAGAGAAAGUGCAGAAAGUGUCUCCUCCCCGUCGGAAAACAUAUAGGGAUGAAAGGCCCGAAAAACUGGGAAAUUGGCCAAGAAAAGAUGCUGCUAAUUUUGAUUCGUCGUCUAGCUAUAAACAACAAAAUGUGAAUAUUGCCGACACAAAUGGUGUUGGGUCUAAGCAAUAUGAGCCUGAGCAACCUCAUGAAGAUAGUAUCAAUGAGAUACUUGAGGUUGGUUUCUGUUGUGUGCUUAAGCAAACUCCUUGUGCAUGUUGAGUAGUUUUUUCUAGUAGAUGCUGAAAUGGUAGUUUCACUGUUUUGAUUGUGAAGGAAGAAGAGGCCCUCAUUGCUGCCCAUAGAAAGGAAAUUGAAGACACAAUGGAGAUUGUUCGUGAAGUAAGUGUACUUUCCAUGCUGCUUCUGACUUAUGCUUGCACCUCGUGGAUUCUUAUAGUGUAAAAUAGUAACUUUACUGAGCGCAUAUGCCAGUUGAAAUGUCUGGGUGUGAAAGAAAGGUUUGAUCUUUGUAGAGAGAUGCUUGUUAGUGCCACUGCUUAUCAGCCUAACUUGUGCUCCUGAUUUCAGGAAAUGAAACUACUCGCGGAGGUGGAUCAACCCGGAAGCCUAAUUGAUAAUUACGUGACACAGUUGAGUUUUGUGCUUUCACGUAAAGCAGCAAGUCUGGUCAGCCUACAGGCUCGUCUUGCCAGAUUCCAACAUCGUCUGAAGGAACAAGAAAUAUUGAGUAGAAAGCGGGUGCAUCGCUAAGGGGUAAAUAUCUUGUAAAUGUCAUGACCCGCAUCUACUUUAUAUCCACUGACUUUUGCAUGUCACAAUUUGGUACAGCUGAAAAGUACUUGUCAAAUAUGUAUCAAUGUGGACAUUUAUGAUUGUCAAGAAUGGCAUCAGCAGUGCAGUUGCAUCAUGCACUUGGAUAAACCACAAGAUCUUCGAAAGUUGCCUAGUGCACUGGUUGCAGAGGACGGAGUGACGUGGUCAUUGCAAUGUUGAGACGUUUAUAGGCUUUGUUGUAACUCAAGUUGUAUAAGCUGAGGCUUAACAUUCAGAAUUGCUGGCUCAAACAAUGAUGCAAGAAAUCAUAUUCGUAGGUGGUGUUGGUUGUAUAGAGAAUGUAUUCCAAAAUGAGUGAUGUCUUCUUUCGUUGGUGGGUUUAUGGGACUUCUUGUUUGAUGAUUGUUGAAAUGAUUUGGAGACGUACGCUUUGUACUGAAAGGGAUAAUCUUCUCAUUUUUCGGGAGUAUACUUCACUCUUUACCCACUUCCAAAUCCUUUAUUUCCCCUCCGUUUAUGUUUACUAAGAGCCUGUUGACAGAAGAAUCUCGUCUCGUUUAUACCCGUAGCGAAAAGAGGGCUUGUGAAGCACUAAAUCUGAUUUGCGAGUUGGAAUACAGGUGUAGACGUAUUUUUUGUUUUAAGCCAUAAAACUCGGUAACGUCCCAAUCCCUGUUUGGAUCCAACCGCACCCAAACAGCUACAGGCGAUCUGUCAGCAGACGGGGGAGGGAAAGGAAAGAUAUGAAUGCGCAAAAAAUCCCUCCGUAAAUGAAUGCAAGUAUACGGGGAAAAACAGACAAGAUUAACAAUAUGGAGACCUGAUCCUGCAGUAUACAUGCCUUCACAUUCUAAGCCAAAAAAAAAAAAUUGGUGCAGACCACUAUAGAAUCAAUCCAAUUUCCUAGUGAAACAAGGGCCCCAGAGAUUACAUCUCCGAUGAAGGUAACCUUUACUCGGCGCACCAAUAAUAGGCAGUCACUCAGAGAAGAUGACCAGCAUCAAAACCACAAGCUCCCAAACAAAACCAUACCAGGAAAAGAAAAAAACCAAAAAAAAAAAAAACUUGAUAGCUGUCCAUUUGCCUCACGUGUGGGGAAAAAGGUUACCAAACUCUUGGGCAAAGAUAAAAUGCCACGUCACUCGUACCAGGAUGUCAAGUGAUGUCAUUUUUUUGUUUUAAUCUGUUCAUUCCUCGUUCUCCAGCAUUUUCAUGCAUAUCCAUGAUCUGUCAAUUAGCAAAUAUACAGCAUCCAGAAUGAUCACUCAGCUUUUGACCUCAAAAUCUCUAAAGCGGUCCUCAGCCUAAAGUAUGGCAUGUGUUCCUACAGGCAAGAAGAAAACACAAGUUAGAAAGAAGAGCCCUUUCAAUCUAAAGCUAAAGCAGCAACUACGACAUUUGGAGAUAUUAAAAGCAGUAAUGAAUAACAUGCUUAAGUCCCUAGUAAACCUCGUCUCCCCCACCCAUACCUCGAUCUUUGACAUACAGAUGCACAGAAUAACGAAAAAGCUUAAUAGACAGAGAAAGCUCAAUAGACAGACAGAUUACAAAUUACCAAACAAUCAAGACAACCUGUUCUGACAUUAACCACUGGGUAAACAUGGCAGCUAAAGGCAUCAACUAAGCUUCAGAAAUUUCCAUGAAAUGCUGUCCAAUCCUACUAAUGUUACAAUAAUACACAACCAAAUCUGCUAAUGGUACAACCGGAAGUAAUAAACACUAUUUUCACUUUGUUUUUUCUUUGGCCCAUGAUAACUCUGUCCUUUCUAGUUAAUUAUCUCACCAAUUCAGUGUCAGCUAACUCUCAUCUGACAUAACAUACACCCCUGAUCCCUUCAUAAACAGACGACAUACAACUAGAGACAUGAAUGCUCCAUGGAAUAAUAUGUUAUGGCUAUCUCAACACCGAACUACGACAGCAUCACAGAGAGAAGAUAUUUAAUACACUGCAGUUUAUAAACAAUCUGCACAUGCCUCCUUCUGAUGUUCUGCAAUUCUAAACUAAAAUCUCCUUCAGAAUCUGAAGUAUCCAACAAAUUCAAAUAAGAAAGAAUGACGAAAUCCUGUAAAGUCAAGCUAAUCGCAGGCUCAAGAAGAUUUAAAAGACAUAAAUAAACCAUAUCUCUCAGGUUGUGCAUUUACCUGAUUAAAACAGAGUCCAAUAUCUCUACUGUAAAAGUCGGCAUAUUUGAUCAUAAACACACCGCAGUCGAAUCUGCUCAUAACACAGACAAAAACCUUUUUUUAUUGAACAAUUCAUAAAGAAAAAUGGAGAAGAAUUCUUAAUUUCGCUUGUACAGUAAUAAUAGAGCUAAAUGAAAUCAAUCUUUUUGCACCAGUGACAAAACAGAGGGACAAUCAUUUAAGCUCAUACCACAUGAGCAAACCACAACAAUUAACAACAGAAAGUGAACAGCAUCCCAAAGGUAAAUGGCAGAAAAGACUAAUCAGGUAUCCUGUGAAAGUGAUGAUGACUGCCAUUUCACACGAUCUAUAUUGCAAUAACAAAAGUCGAAAUUGGGCUAAGAAUGAAGAAGAUGACAAAGAGGAGAUUCACUAACCAAAGACAGGAUAUAGUAGGCGUUUUAACCGCCCACAUUUUAACCUCUAACCUCCCACAUUUUAACCUCAAAUUAUAAUUGGUGCUUAUAAGCAAUUUAACAGAGAGCACACAUAGAUAUGAUGUCAAAUAUCUAUCCAAAUAUCACUAGAUGCACGAGGCAAAUUUAUUUCAUAUACCUGCUGCUAUUGGUGAGGGUGGGAAGGGCCAGAAUUUUGCUAACUUUCAUACACAUAAAGGGCUAUGUAUUAGGCUAUUAGCAGUUUACAAGGAAUGUUUUCCUAGACAUAAGAUAAAUCACUAAAUGAUAUGGAUAUUAGCUUAGAACUAUUUCUCGGGUUGAAACCAUUUUGCAAGCAGAAAUUUGACCAAAAAGAAACUUCAGUACCCAUUCUCCUGUUCUGGAAGGUCCGCAACAAAUUCUUGCUGCCAGGAACUAACAUCAAUCCCUUUGCCACACUUGUCCUUGACUUCAUCUACAAUGUAUCUAGCCUGGAGAUAUAAAUAUAAAAAAACUGGCUUCAUCACCACAUAGCACUAUGAGUUAAACACCAAAACUUUUGUCUUCUUUCUUUAUGUAUCAGGAACAUUCUUUUACUUCUUUAUAAUGAAAGAAAAAAAAAAAUUUAAAUCAAUCAUAGGAACAAUUGAAGAAUUGCAGCUAACAUGUAGACAACAAUAUGGGACAUUUCGUUUUGGAUUUCUUAAACUAGUGAAAGCAAGGCCCAUUAUGACUCUGUUUGAAGACCAUAUAAGUGAGUCAACUCCUCUGACAACUUUAUCAACCCUGUAAUUGAGGACUCAAAGCACUUUAAAAAAAAAAAAAAAAAAAGCUUACCAGUACUUUAAUCACUUGACUAUCAACUCCACCAAGCGAAUCAAGAUACUGAAACUUUUCAUCCUUCUUGUUGAUGACUGCUAAGCACCAAUGGACUUCUUUGUGAAUUGGUACAAAAAUCUGAAUAAUUUAGAAACAUCAUCUAACUUUAAACUAAGCCAAGGGAUCAAAUCCAGCACUCCACAAAAACAACCUAAGGAUCUAAGGAUCCUACCUUAUCACAAUCAAAGAUACAAUAUCCAAGCUUCUUUUGGGAAGUCCAUCUCCGAACCGAUUGAUAGUUAUAUCCACCCUUUCCACUAACUAGCUGCAAUUUCAAAUGUCACCCAAAAAACUGAUUGAGGCAUAGAAGACAAAAAAAGUUCUUAAAUCUAAGGAUAACCUAUCAAAUCACAUCAUAUAUCAAACUCAUGACCUCACAAUUCUUUCAAAUGAAUAAGUUGCAAUUCUACAACAACUUCACGCAAAAAUUUUCCUAGUAAAGCAGAAAGCAUUCUCAAAAAAAAAAAAAAAACUAGAAACCAUCACAAAGUAGGUUUAGUUGAUUGAUUGAAUCCACCUAGAUCUCAGCGAAGCAUGCACCGUAUAUUUAAAAAGCAACAGGAGUCCAAUUUCUAGAAUUUCAUUAACUUGAUUUGACCAACAAAUUGGAAAUCCUUAACAUGCAGAGAAUUUGAGAAUGACAGGGCAUAUGUUACUUAGCAGUCAAUAUUUAACAUCAGCAAGAUUUCCAUCCUUAGUAUUAUAUUCACCUUACAAAAACACAAACAAUUUUUCUUUCAAGCUUAUCCAUCUUUCCACACUUCUAUGCAUGUACUAUGUAAUAGGAAAACUCAUAAUUGCAAUAGAAGUCUUCAUGCCCAGGGCCCCAGGCCUCCAAUGCUUCCCAAAAAGUGUACAGUUUAAGUUCUCCAAUCUCAUAGAUGCUAAAAAAUGCUGGUAAAAAUCUAGAAGACUGAUAUUCAAAUUCCAAACUUAGCCUUUUACUCUAAUUUUCUAUUUUGUAAGUUUUGAAGCAAAUUGCAUGAAAUGUUGACAAAUGGGUACAAUAACACAUUCAAGUCUAAGCCCUAAAAGAACCAAUACAUAUAGAAGUUAUUACAACCAAUCAACCUUUUCUUGCCUAAAUGCGGAAAAGAGAGCUCACUGACCUUUUUGAAAAAGAAAGUGUUAAAGAAAUGGCAAUUCAAGAAUUUUUUAGGCUCCCUUCUCUCCCUUUCUUUUAAAAGCUCAAGAUAUAAAUUGAUAACCUGCAAAAGAAGAAAGCCCAUUUACAGAGGGAAAAACCUUUGUCAAAUGCUUGUGCUAACUCGAUAAGAAGUCUUUUCACCAAGUUCAUGGAAGCUGACAAAAAAGCAAAGUUCACCUCAUCAUUCAACCAUGCACGUGGUCUCAAGCACUGCAAAACUUCUCCUGUUAUACUAAUAUUUGAAUUUUCAUGGGUCACCAAAAGCUUCCUCCUGUACGUAAACCACAGAAUAGAAAUAAAAUGAUAACAGCAGCAUAAAAUGGACCAAUAUGGAGCCAUUUAAAGGCAAACAAAGACAGCAUUGACUCAUACCGACUGGAAUUAGAAAGAGCACGGUUAACCUCAGUCUCUUCUUCCUCAGUAAGAGGCUUAAAAGCUUCUGCUGUCACAUCCUGCAAUCAAAUGCAAGCAAAGUAAGCAAAAAUAAAUAAAUAAAUAUACACAGCAAGAAAAUUCCAUACUUUCAUGGCUCAAAAAGAUUACCUUCUUAGCAGCUUCUUCUUUCUUCUGGGGACGCAAUAACUGUUGUAGCUGCAAUUGCUUCUCAGUAUAUUCAAUCUGAAAAUUCAACGAGUUAAUUUUAUCAUUCCUCCUCUCUGCAACAUAUAACAAUUUCUUGUGCACGCUUUCUUGUGGAACGCCCAACUCCUGACUUAACGACAAAGACGCCAGCAACUUCUAUGCACCCAUUUUAUGACAAGGGAAUCUGCCUCCUCUGGGUUUAAGGCCUUACGCUUGCAAAGAGUUCUGAGUGCCUUUACAUGAGCAUUAACCUGUCAAAGUUUGAAAGCUGCUUAGACAUGUGCCAAAGAUGUCAUACAGCAACCGGAGAAUAAAGAACAUGCAACUCAUUGUUUUCCAAGCCAAGGCAGGUAAGGGAUAAAAAUAAGCAUAUGAACCACAUUUAUGCAGCUUUCUGGCCUUCCAUACAUACUCUUUUUGACAGUGAAUGAAACCUAAUUGAGUGAAAAUGCUCAUGCUUUAUUGUAGUGAAACUAUCGAGAAGAUUAUCAAUAAAUAUCAAAAGUCUUCUUCGGAUGUGCUGUUUAAUUAACCAAGUAAAAUCUCAUGUCUUUUACAACUCUUGAGGCCAUUCAACAGAAAAAUUUAGGACAGGAAAUGCAUUUUAAAGAAUAGAAGACAAUACUGAUGGAAUUGAUAGAACAAAAUACAGUAGUGUUUGAUAGAUACCUCAGUUGAAUGCAUGUUGAACUCCUCAAGUCGCUUGAGAAAGUUAUGAGCUAGAUCAGCAGCAGGUUCAGGAGGCAGCUUCACAGAAACAUUAGAGAUUGUUUGCAAGAGGAAGACACGGUCCCCUGCCCAAGCAACCGAAUUAGGUUCUAUGUCCAUUUCCUCAUUGCCAUCUCUUUUUUCGUGUGGGCUCCUAAGCUCACCAGCAGGUUCAUACUUGUCCACGAGCUGCCAAUGAUGAUGGAGGAAUUCCCACUCCACCUCCUUUGGAAGGAAUGCUGACACCUCUGAUAACAGAAGCCAGGCACCUGGAGGUGCUGUCCACUUCUCGAUUGGCAUAGAAUGACUCAACCACAGGGAUUCAGACGCCCUUAUGAUAUUCUGGAGGGCUGUAGCAAUCUUGGGCUUGAGCCUUUUUUUCUUUCCUAAGCUUGUACAGAUCUUCUUCACCCAAGAAGUCACCUCUGCAUCACAAGUCUCUUUUAGUAUACACAAAACUCCCUCAGGACAUAACAACUCAAUUUCUCUAUCCAAAAUCCUUGACUUUCCAUUUGACUUAUCCGUGAAAGAAUGAUGAUGGGAUGUGGUAUCUGAUGGAACCUUAGAUACUCGAUCAAGAACAAGUUCUGAAAACAGGCUCUCACAUUCUUCUUGGAUGCUAGAUUCAUUGUCAGCUAUUAAAGGUGGAACAGAAUGUAGCCACUCUUUAGUUACGUUUGUAUCACAGAAUAAUCUAAAGGCCUACACAGCAAUACACAUGUCAAGAUAUGAUUGAGGAAUUACAAAUCCAGCUAAUUCAAUGUGCAGUAAAGAAAAUGCAUCUGAAACUAUUAUAGCAUCCAAGGAAGAAAAGGAUUAAUACAGCCAAUAACAACUUGGGAGAAAAGAGUGGCAGAAUAGUUUGCUUUGUAUGAGGCAUGCAGUACCAAUGGUUGCAAAAUGCUUUACCCUGGGGCUUUAUCUUUUAUCAUAUCUCAUUGGAAGGGAAAUCUAAAGAAUAAAUCACAAAAAGGUGCUUUAGGAACUGCAAAAUCAUGCACGUGAAUAUGGAUAACUGAAAAGGCAUUUCAGGCAUGUUAAUAUGACAAAUUGUAUUUGCAAAUCUAGGUAAUAGAGCAAAGUAUGCAAUUGGAUUCUUCCUAGACAACAACUUUAGAUAAGCAAAACAAAUAAAAUAAAGAUCAAUCAAAUAUAUUUUCAAGGUAAGCUAAUGAACCUCUGAAAGAGCUGAUAUUGCUGCUUUCCGUAUACUAACAAGGGGGUCAGAACAAGCCAUGCCCACGAUCUUCAGCAAUUCUCCAUCAAGAGCACCUCUUAAAAGUACUGUUAACUUGGAGAUCAGAAAAAGAGCCGCCUUCCUGACUGCAGCCUUCUCAUCCAUACACCGUUUCAGCAAGAGAUCAUUCAUCCUACAUUUCGUGCUACUCAAGCCCUCAUUCCCAAACCCCAUCACUUCCUUCAACAAUGUCCUGCUCCUAUUAUUCCCAGAGAAAAAUCCUACAACUUGAGCUAAAUUAGUUAAGGCCCUCGCUUUAAUCCCAGCGGUAACAUCUGAGCAACGCUCAAUUAAUGUCUCCAAACAAGUCAAACCCCACAAGUUCUCAACUUUAUCACCUGAAUCCAAUCCCAAGGGGUCUCUCAAUGUCGUCAUCAACAUAAGAAUUAGGUCAACGGACAGAAGCCUAAAUUGACCUUUUCCUUGGCUCAUCUUGACUACAUAAUGUGUAAAUUCAACUUGAUCCUCAAACGCCAAAACUUUAACAAUCUCCAUUAUAGAUUCCACAGCCAAAGCCCUUGGCUCAGCCUUUUCCGGGGCCUUAUGCACCAAGUACUUGGGCAAAUUGACAACUGCUUUCUUAAUCUGACUCGAAUGGUUAGCCAAUCUCAUCAUUCUAUUCACCACAAACUGCAAUCCAAAACUCCUAGCCUGUGAUUUAGGAAGAAACAUCAAAGGUGUCAAACACUUCAAAACUUCAGCUGCAGAAACUGUCUGAUCCGCAUGCUCAGCUUUAAGCACUUCAUUCAAAAUCUGAGAACUCAGCUCGCAUAACUUUUCAUAACUCCCUGAACUCCUACAAACCUCAACUGCCACAACAGGAAUCUCAGCCACUGUCUGAACCAAACUCCUCAAACUAUCCGGAAACCUAUCCAAAUGAACCAAGCCCAACACUAAUUCCAACCUCUCCAGAACACUAAAAAACACCCUCGCCUCAAUAACUCCCUCUUCACCGUCAUUUUCACUCUCUUCCACCAGUUUUCCCUUAUUUUUCCCCACCCCUAGCCUCCCUCCACCGCGCUUUUUUCUACCCCGAUUUUCACCCCCAGGACCGUCAUUAGAAACCAGAGAUGGGUUCUUGAAAGCCCAACGAAUCGACCGCAACAGUGACACAAAAGCCAUGGGAGUGAACAGAGUUAAAACAGGAGAAUUAGGGGAUAAAAGCAAAGAAAGGUAAACAUUUGAGGCUAAAAGGGAAAGAGUACUUCUUGUGGGUCCGGUAGAAUCCAUGAGGGAGGAAAUGGAACUGGUUAAUGAAGUUAAAGAGAGGUUUCUUGAAGAAAUUUCAGCAUAAAAAGAUUCAAGAUCUGUUGAAUCAUUGGUUCUGAGUGUGUAAUCCAGAAGGGUUUGAAGGUCCUUGAGAGAAAUUGCUGAAAGGGGAUUUUGGGCUUCCAGUUCUGCAAGAAUUCUGUUGAUGGAUUCUUCAUCCAUGGUUGAAUUGAUCGACUUUGGGCUCUGGAGAUUGAAGGGUUCUGCUGCUCUAUCUAUUACUGAGGUCCAUGACUCGGUCGUUCUUCAAGAUUGCAACUUUCAUCUUCAUUUCUACGCUGACGGCUUCAAAUUUUUUGGCUUUCCCGCUCUAACAUUGGGAUAAAUACUGCUCUAUACAACAUUAACAACGGCUUUUCGUAGUGUCUAAAGUACUCGAGACAGCGCUCACUUAGAGGCACGGUUUCAAGCUUCUGAGCUGCCUUUUUGUGGUCUCGAAUGUACUCUAGAAAGCGCUUAGUUACCAGCACGGUUUCAAUCUCAGGAGCGGGAGGGACAAGGGAUUUACUAGAGUCUCUUUUUACGGUACUACGCUACUUGCUGCAUGGGCUUAAAAGUUCUACUUGGAUCUAGCUUUUCCGGUGGAAAAAUAAUUUAUACCUGAAAAAUAUUUUGAUGACAAAAUUUCAUAUGCAAAAGUAUUAGAGUAAUUUAUACAGACAAUGUAUACACUAUUAUGAUUAGUUAUAUGAUAUAUCUGUAAAAUUUGAGUUUCAAAUUUAUAUUCGAAUUAUGUGUCGGACAUCCAUUGAUAAAAGUAUAUGCACUGUCAGUAUAUAGAAGAUUAAUAUAAAAUAUUAUACUCCACUUUUGUAAAGUUCCUUUGAAGAAUGAUUUAGGAAAAAAACACUGAUUAUGUAAAACAAAUAGCAUUUCAUGGCAUGCAAGAUUUACAUAUUCCUAGUUUAGGUCAAUUAGAGAGUUGCAAUGUCCAUGGCCUGAUUUCACAGCUAAACAAAUAGCACCACCGUUGAGAAUUGAUCCUUUCAACUCCGGAAAUUUUCAGAAGGAUUCGAAAAAUAUCGAGCAAUAAUGAAAACUAUUUAGCUAUAUUUUCUUUUGGUUAACUAUAUUUUCUUUUGGUUGCAGAAUGUGGAUCACAACAUGAACCAUAAGAUUACACAAAUCUAGAGUUUAUAAUCAACAACAUACAGCUUAUUAUAUGGAAUGUGAGUUUAGAACCAACAAUCUGCAACUUCUUCUCUCCAUGUUACAUUUUCUAUAUUGAGCACUUUUGUGUUUCUCAACUCAAACACACACACACACACACAAGGGCAAAAGGAAAAAGGUUGGUCUGGUAGGUAUACACCUCCUCAUUAAAUGCAAUUACCCACCUCAUUACAAAGCCUGGGAUUCGUCCUUAACACUAUAUAUACUGCUAAUAAUAUGAUUAACAUCUGUAAGUGAAUGAGAAAAACAUCUCAUAAAUAUCUCACUCUCUUUCCUUUUCCUAAAUCGUGCUUAUUCUCAUAGAGUCUUCAUUAUUUUUUACUCCAAGCCUUUGAUUUGACGAAUGAAUUAACCAGGUUCAACCAGUGUCUCUACUGGAGGAAAGCCUGAUGAGGAUACUAACGCUGGACUGCAAGACAAUGCUCCAGCUGAUUCCUAUUCACUAGCAAAUUCUCUGCCAUAACAGAGACAGCAAAGCUGCUAGAUCUUUGGCCAAACAUCCUUCCAAUUUAUUUUAUUCUGUAAUUGCUUCCACUUUAAGGGUAUAUUAAUUAAUAAUCCCCCUUAUUGUGGUUUGCAUAUUUUCAAAAUGGAAGCAGAUAUUUUGGUUGUAAACGGCUGACUGGGAUAUAAACCUUCUAGCUAGUAAUGAUACGAUAUUCCUCCCUAGUUUUUGACCAAAGCGUGCUUAACUAGGUAUGAUAUCUAUCUAGCUCGGAACUUUUCACUUAUCUUGAACAAUCGCAUCAUUAACGUUCUCUUCCUACCCAAGCAUAUAAUUUUGAGUCUUUGACGAACUUACACACAGAAAUGUCCAACAUCCCUAUAAUAUUAGGCUACAUGACAAUGAGGUUGGCUAAUACUUGUAUGCUGUAGCCAUCUUUUGGCUUCUUUUUACAAGUAUCAUGAUCCAACCUUGAAAAUAAAGCUGUACAUGCCGAUAAAAGUGACAUUGAAAUCCAAAACUGUAAUGCAAAUAAAGCUACAUGACUGACUUUUGCUAUCAACUGACUAUAUCUACUUGCCAUAUCGCCCCUAUGAGAUGAGAUAUAUGCCUUACUCGGCCGCACCUAAAAAUCAAAGUAUAUCCCUGCAAGACUCAGAAAUGAUGCAAUAUGUGUACAGUCUACAGACAGAUUAAGGAACGCAAAAAGUCCAAUAAACAUAUUGUAGAAAAUAUUGGAUUGUAUUCUUUCCUUGAUACAGCUCACCACCAGCUGGUAUAGACAAGGAAAACCAUUUAUUACACGCAUGCAUAAUACUUAAAGGAACUCAAGGAAUGUCUCGCAACAACACAAACAUAAAACAAAGCAGUCGAAACAUGACUGGAUUAAGAAAACAAAGUCUUCUGGAAAAUUCCCAUAGACCAAACUAGGUUUGGUUGCCCGAUAUCCAGGGUUAUUAAUGGUUUCUGCAUGAUAAGCUUCACAGGAAGUGUAUCAUUCUUGGAGCAUCUGCAUCUUCUGGAUUCGCAGCCUCACUGGGAUUACCGCCAUAGUCGCCGGUAGAGGGAAAAAGAGGCGGCGGCUGCUCCAUGUUAAGCUCCACAUGAUGAUCAGCAGAAGUAGUGCAGCCUCUGCCCUGACUGAACACCGAUGGCUCUGGUCCAGCUAGGUUCAGCUCAUGGCGAGGAACCCAAUAUGGUCCUCCUCUACUGGCUAACACAACCUCCAUCAAUGGAGAUGGCGGAUUGCCCCCGUGCAAAAUGGGGUACGUCGCCAGACUUGGAUGAAAAUGAGGUCUGCCAACAGAAGGAUCAGACCUUACAAAUAUAUAAUCAAUUUUCUUCAUAAUUAUAUGCUUAAUUAUAUCAAAAUACUAGUUGUAAUUACAGACAUGCAUAUAUUGAUGUACGAAUAUUUAGUAGCAGUAUCGGUUAACACUCAACAGUAGGUAUUAAAUACGUGGAAUUCACUUAAAAAAACAUGGAUUUGAAUGACGGAUCAUCCGAUAACAAGAAAAAGGUUUUUACUCAUUUGGAUAUCGAUCUCGGACAUGCAUUUAGUUAAUCAUGUAACAAGCUGGCAGAAUAUUUAACUUGCUACUAAAAACAAAAAAAGUAGAACUUACCCAAUGGGGACAAGAGCAGCAGGGGGCCUAUAGUUGACGACAUUGUUGGCAAGGCCAAUUGCAGCAUCAUUAAUAUUGCUUGCAUGGAGAGGGGUGGAGGGUGGUGCCAGCCGUGCUAGUGUCAAGGGGAAAUAGUUAUGCUGGUGGACACCGACGUCGGGGAAACCAACGUUGCUGCUAUUGCCUGCAUAUUCAUGACAUGUUCGAACAAACAUCUCGUUUUUUUUUUUUUAAGGAUUAAUAAAAUGAAAAUAAACCUUUUUUUUUUUGCCGAAAGAAGAACUUACCUCCAACUUGGAGUGCCCCUGUUGGCCUGCCAAACGUAGAAGAAUGAUAUCAAUAGUAUAUGCUAAGCGAAUUUCAUGUCUCUAUCUAUCAUGGGAAUAAAAUUCCGGGUUAAUUAUAUGUCAAUUUAUUUGCUUGGCCCUCCUUGAAAUUAUAUGUCAAUUUAGUGGAGACGCUUAGGUUCAAUUUGGCAUUGAAAUAGUUCAGAUGCAUACAGGCCUAAAAUUUGAAAAAUAUUUUGAAGAAUAAAAAAUGUUAACUUAGAAGUAAUAAGCUUGAAAAGCACUCACCCCCCCCCCCCCAAAACAAAACUCUUCACAAACUAUAUCUAACUUCAACAAGUAACAUCUCUGAGAAAAAUGAAGAAGGUAUGUAAACGAAGAUUUCAACGUCAAAUGCUUAAUUUUUGAUAGAAAGGGAAAGGAUCAAAAUCUUAAAGGCAGGAAGCUCUCAAGUAAAGUGUUCACCUGUAAACUCGUAAAGGCCAUGCAUCAUCACCGUCGUCGGGCCCUGGGCAGUGAGGAUGCCCAUGUAGACACUGAAAAAAGUUUUGGUUCUGGUAAUUGUGAUCCUGCUCCUGCUCCUGGUCCUGGUCAUGGAGAAUUCAAGUACCACAGUUAGUAAUCGCUGAAGUAUAAUGCAUAAGAUGUAUGAUUAUUAUCGUCUAGUGAUUGGCAUUUUUUUUUAACUAUCUAAGCGGGAAAUCUGAAUAGCAGAGUUGCUCACAUUCUUUCUUUGUACUAAGGGGUACAGAACCUCUACAUGGCUACUAAAGCAGCAUGGCCAUGCAACUGAAUUACUAGUAAAUUUGUCUGGCUUUAAUUAUCUGUAUAAAUUUACUCUGAAUUAACAUAGCAAGAAUUAUUAUAGUUCUAUUGUUAGCAUAUAUAAACGGAUGUUACAGUAAAAUUGCUCUUAAAUUAUGGCUAGAUCUUCUGUGUUAAUUGCCGAUAACGGCACUGCCAGUCAUCUUCACUGGAUUUGCAAUGUAUAGCAGCUACCAUUAUCAUUAAACCAUUCUAGUUUGCAGGACAAAGCACAAGCAAUAGUCCAUAGGGCGAAACCUAUCUAGUUUUUGCUUUAUAUCUGUCUUGGGUUUCAAAAAAUUUUCCCUUGCAUUCUCCUGGCCUCCGUCUGUACUGCCUAUUCUUACAAGUCACAAGCCUAAUCUAGCGGACAGCAAAUUAUUUGACGUUAAUUGUACUCUUCACCUUAGCACAACAUGAACUGAAAAAAAGAUUUAAAGACAUAUAAAUGGUAUUACCGCAUCUGCAUUGCUGGUCUCCUCAUCACUCUCUUCAGCAAUGACAUCAAGCAUAGGAUCUUCAUCAAUGGUAUCAAGCCCAGGAGCUUCCAUGCUGUACAACCAAUCGCUGGUCUCCAUCGACCUGCAGUUGGGGCAUUGCAUUGCACCCCUGGCGUUAAACUCGCAUCCAAUGCAUGCUGCAAGAGACAAACAAAAAAUUGUUAAAACAACAAGUUUAAAUCACUUGCAGGUAGAAAAAAGAAGUAGAAAUAACAAAAAAUAAAAAAUAAAAGGAGGAAGUUCGAGAUUAUGGUAAAAGUUAUGAUGCCACUAACAUGAGAUCAGGAAAAACUAGACAUGUACAGGACAUUUUUUGUUUGCUCACUCUCUUCUAAGAGGUAUUCAUGGAUUCUCAAACUUAAACGGCUUAUAUAUCACCAGUUUAAGCCGAAACAUUCUUAUGACUUUGUAAAGAGCAAAAGUUGAUAAAUAAAAUAUUUUUUUGGAGAUCAAGCAAAAUAAAUAUUUACAACAGUGUGGACUCGCCAAUUUGCCCAUUGAAUCAAUUGUACUUUUUAUUCCUUUACUUAUUUUGGUAGCUGACACCUGCUAGUUCUAGUAGAAAAGUCACAAUUGUUUGUGGACAUGAAAUUCUGGAUGGGGAAAAAGAUAUAUAAUACGGUCUGAUCUUCAACAAAUCAUAAAAGGACUCUAUUUACUCCCCAACAGAUGAAUCAUCAAAACCCUCUUUUAAAUAUGACGCAGAAAAGAAAAGAAUGCAGUACAAGUUUCGAACUCCUAUGUAUGAUAACAUAACAAAACAUACCUUUGAGCUUAAUUCUAAGUGAAAGUACCUAUCCAAGAAUUAUUCUAUAGACUAAACUAGAUUUUGUAAUGUCAGUAAAUAACUGUAAAAGCUACAUGAGGAAUUACUGAUUUAGAUGUAUGUACGACGGCGCAAAAUUGUCUUCCCCUUUUCUUGCUUUGAUGUAAAUUCAGAUUUAUAUAUGUAAACCAACUUUUUCGAUCCACUUGUAAGGUAAAUUAUACCAUUUACCAUUGAAGUUUAUUUUUUGGUUUUAACUAUACACUGGCCGGUAUGCUUAAUCUUGCCCACAAGUUCUUCGAAAAAUUGGAAAUAACCAAUUGAAGUAUUUUUUUUCCACAACAAAAAUUAAUUCAUUAGAUGAAAAAAUGGCACGAAUAUUAUCCGAGGAAUGUGGCUAAGCAUAUGAAAUUCUCUAUCCGGGGAAAAGAUAAUACAGUCAAUCAGGCAAUAAGUAUUCAUAAUAUAUGCCCCGGUAUAGAAAAAUCGUCAAAACCCUUUUUAUCUUUAAGAUGUUAUAAAGUAAAAAUAUAAAGAAAACACUUUCUAACUCCUAUAUAUAUUCGUGAUAACAUAAACCGAUAUACCCUUGGGAUUGAAUAUAAGAGAGUAUCUACCCCCAAGUUCUUUUAUUUUAUAGACUUCAUUAGUUUUUGUCAUAAGUAAUUAAAGAACUGUAAAAAUUGCACCCACAAAUCAGAGAAGAAAAUGGAAUAAAAGAUUUAUAACCAAGUAUAAUGGUGCAAAAUCGUCUCCCCUUAUCUUGCUUUCAUGUAAAUUCAGAUUCAUUUAGGUAGACGGAAUUUCUGUGUGUACUUGAGAGGUGAUCUAUGCCAUUUGACGUUGUAUUUUUUUUUCCCCCCCGCUAGAACAAGGAUAACCCAUUAAACAAAAAAAAAAUUAAAAAAAAGGUCAUAAACUCAAAUCAGACAGAAAAACACCAAAGAGAAAGGAAGCAUCCGAGAUCAAAGAAUCCUUCUAAGAGAGACAGGUACGAACACUGAAUAUAAAUCAAAGGACAAACAAAAAGAAAAGAUAGAGAGAAAGAGCGAGAUAGCUAUACGUAACUUCUAGGGUGAAAAAACUAAUAAGACCAAGACUUUGGACAAUUCAAUCUCAGGCAAUAUAUCACGUAUGGAGAUAAUCAAUAAUCAAGCAAAUGAAAAGAGCAACAUUAGGAAAUCCACUUAAAACCUACACAAAUGAAAUGUGUGGCCACAUUUCAGCUUAGCAAUGGCUCGGGAGUUAUUGUCGACCACGUCCUCCAAGCAAAUUGAACACUCUCCGAUGAAUGGAGUUUCCUGUGCAGCAGAAGAAACCUGACUUCUGGAACCCAUAACUCUUAAUCUCACAGGCACUUGUUGCUCUCACUCUACACAGUAUAUCUUAACAGAUAUUAGACCCAAUAAUAUUUGCUUGUAUAUAUAGAAGAGAUUAGCAGGUUCAUGAACUAUUUUAUUCGUUGUCAAGUAUAUCCACCUGGGCUUCGGUGUGGAAUGGCUCCUUGUCAUAAAUGAUUCUGUUAAUAUGGAAAGUAAAUAAUAAUGGUUACCAUAUUUCCAAAAAGCAAAAUCAAAUUACAAUGUACUUUUGAACUAGAGUAACAUUGGCCCUCUAAACUUUUACAUGUAACAGUUUGACCACCAAAACAUCAACUCUAACAUUUGAGACAAAAACUCCCCACCUAUUCUGCCUCUCUCCCUAACGCUAUGUAUGUUGAGCUUACAAAGGAACAUAUAGUAUAGAAGGGCGCCCUUUUUUCAUUAGUAAAAACUCAAGGGGCGAAUGUAACAUUACCCAAAAGAUACAAGAGAAAUAUGAAUUUUCUUAAAGAACUGAUGCACCCCUCUACUCGUUUUACUUAUUGAUGAUGUACUUUGUUCGGCAUUAUUCAAGUAUAUCCAAGCUGUCACUGAAAUCUUAAUUACUUGUCUUUUUGGGUGCAACCUUGCUCUAGAUUUGAUUUUGCUGACACAGAAAAUAAAUCACUAUUAAACUUGUGGACCAAAACAAUUUAUGAAAACAUAUCUGAGCAUUUAUGCAUGUCAAACAACUUUUAAGAAGCAUAACAACAUAAUGGCGUGCUGCAACAAAUGAAUUAUGAGUAUAUCAAAGCAUACAAUUUUCUUUUAUAAAACGUCAACUUUAGUUAUUUUACUACACUGCUAAAGCAUUUAGUCAAGGGUAUAUGUAUGCACACGUAACUGUGAAACCAAAAUUUUUCAUAAAGGUUAGGAUUUAAUUUGCUCGUGACUAAGGAUAUUUCUGGAGACAUUGCACUCAUAAUGAUGAGUUAUAAAGUAACAUCAAAUUAUUAUAUCUUUAAUCAAUAGUCUAAACCCUAUUUUCUAUAUUACAUGUACAGCGAGAAAUAUAAUCUUGUAACCAUUUAAUUAAGGAUUAAACGCAAUAACUUAUAAGUCAUCAACGACAACUAACCCUAACAGGGUUACACCCGCUCAAAAAUAAGUGAUAUUUGGUUUUUUUUUGCGAUUCUAAUCUAUACUUUGUAAAAGUGAUGAUUAAGCAAAAACUUUAAUGAUAAUCGAUCUUGGAUCCUAAUAAUUGUAUGUAUUGCAUGGGGAAUACCUAGGAGAGAAUUAAUAAAACCUAAAACGAGUAUUGUUUUUACUAACUGAACACUUAUUAUCCACUUUUAUUUUCUAAAAACGUAUACAAUAUAAUAAAUUUCUAAUUAGUAACUGCAGUGAAAGAAACAAUUGAAACCCUAUCUAUGUAAUGAAAGAUAUGACAAACAUAUGAGCAUUUUUUUUUAGAUUUUGUAAAGUCAAUGGUAAGGUGUUGAUCUUAUUUGGUUUUAUUUAUGUUUUAUGGAACUUAAAAGAAGUUUGCUUUUUAUGGCCUAUAGAUAUUAAUAUAACUAAAAAUGCAACAUAACUCAGCUAAUUGAUUUUCUUCAUCAUUUUAUUUGAAUUCUUCGUCAUUCUUUCUAUUAUAAAAAUAUGUACAUAUUUUUUCGAAUUCUUAAAAGAAUUUUCUAAACCAUGGACUGCAAUAUCAGCUCCAAUGCAACACUAUAUCGCAAAUUCACCUGUAUCUAAAGCUUAUUAAUUUGCUAGUUUUCUAGCUGUUAAAUACUAUCAGAAGGUUAUAAUAUGUCAAACUCCAUCCAAUUAAAAGCUUUGUAGUCCAUGAAUCAUCAGUUUUCAAUGCAUCCUAAUCCAUAGUUUGGUCUUCAUACUUUAAUAGUUAUUCUAACUUGUUGAAUAAAAUAUAUAGCGAAUAAGUUUGCUCAAAUCUGCAAGUGACUAUUUAGGGAUCAGUUAGAUGAUCUAAAAUUUUUUUUGAAACAAAAAUGUGUUACAAAUAUGAUUAUUUCAAUUGAAUGUUCGAAAUACCAAAAAAAAAAAAAUUUUUGAAUCAACACUCUUGCCCAAAAACUCAUGAGGCAUAAACUUUAAUUACAUCCACUAGAACAAAGAGGAUCCAUAUUUGAAAACAAUUUCUUUUAGUAAUAAAUAGCUUCAAAGGAAACUAUAUGCCUUGACUAGAGUAUUAAUAUAUAACUCACUUCAAAUUACAAUGACAAGGGAAUUAGACCUUUCACACAACUCAAUGAAUCACUUGGUCCGAGCAGAGCAGUAGAUGCCAUGCCAUGCCAUGCAGAUGUCUAGAUUUCUUUGUGCACUAAUUGUGCUUUAAUCCUUUCAAUUAGUAUUUUUUUGCCAUUUAUCUAUAUAUUAUUUUACUUAGGAAUAGUAGCCAGAAAUUAAAAAUUUCCAAGAGAACAAUUUCAUCGGUGAUAGAUUUUACGGACUGCAAAAGUUAGGCUGAACUUUUCCGCUCAAAAGAGCAGACCUCAAUUUUGAUAGGCCCAAGUUUCUUACCCAGGACAAUUCCAUUUCUAUAGAGUAUAAAGCCCAACCCAAAAUAAAAAAGUCCGUCUUGUCAUUGAGCCCGCGAAUUAAUCCAAAUCUGGAACUCCUGAGUCCUGAGCCUUAGUAUUCAUCUGAGACUGAGAAGGACGAAAUUGUCAAUAAACGAAAGAUUAUCCUAUUUUUGUAAAUUGAUGUUCUACUUCUUCCCCAGAACCCUCGCCCUAUAUAUUGUGGCUGCCCAAGCUUCAACCUCUCUCCCUUGUAGCAGUAACCUUUUGUCUGGAGCGAUCCGAGAGCUAGGCUUGUCCUCAUCAUCAUCAUGUUGGUCUAUCAGGAUUUAGUCACCGGUACACACACUUUUGACUUUUGUUUUUCUGGUUUUACGAAUGAAUUUGUAGUUCUAUAGAUGUGUGAUCUGAUUGAGUUGCUUUUGCUUUCUGGGCUUGGUUUUUAGUUAUGUAUAACGGGUUUUCGAUAGGGUUUUUGCAAGGUUAAUUUCUAGAUCUGUGUUAGAUUGAAUCUGUAGUUUGCUCUGUGGUGGCCUUUAGUUUUUGAGGGGUUUGAUGGUUAAUUGGAUUCUGAAUUGUUGUUACCAAUGGUUUAAUUUUUCUUUGUUUUUGCUCUUACUGAUUGUUUGUGAUUUGAUUCCUAUUAAAAAUCAAGUCUUUUUUAAAUUUCCGUGUUAAAGAUUAAGUCUCUUUCGCAUGCGCUCGGGAAUUGGAUGAUUACAUUUUCAGAACUUAUGUUUUGGUGCAAAAGGUCAGCGGAAUUGUUUGGUUGUCGCAGUUUUUAGGUGGAUAUACACGUGUUGUUACUAUUGAGAGUGGAUAUCUACCCGGUUUUUGACAUCCUCCCCCCCCCCCCCAAAACACCAGUUGCUCUUUCUGCCUAUGAACAUUUUGGAAUGGGUUGGAGAAGGCUGAUUCUGAUUUGUAACUUGGAUCGGAAGUCUGUGUGAAAUUUCUUUUGUUAUUGCAUUGAUAGAGUGGGACUAAACUUUCUCUUGGAUAUAAAAAGAGAUUUAAAAGAAGGAUUGUGCUCAUUUAAUUAAUCCGAUUUUGUACUAUUAGCUACUGCUGAUUAAUGUCCCCUGCUACUUUCUCUUACACCGGCUUUUAAGAGUAUGUUUUGAUUUGUUUUGGUGAAUCUCGUGUUUAACUCUCUUCUCGAUUCACUUCUAUGAUUGUGUAGGUGAUGAGCUUCUCUCGGACUCGUUUCCAUACAAGGAAAUUGAGAACGGGAUCCUCUGGGAAGUUGAGGGAAAGGUGAAAAUUGUUCUCUUUUCUGUUUAACUUGCUUAAUUUUGGAAAAGAUCUGAAUUUCUAUUAUGAUGAUCAUUACUUGUGCAAGCAUUAUGACUUGUCUAUUGUUCGUAUGUUGGCAACCAAUGAGUUUCUUAUUCCAGCAUCUUUUUACCUUACAUAAGAGUAUAAAUGAUUAAGAGUUUUGUAAAGUCUGAUUUGCUGCAAAUUUGUAAAUUCCAGUGGGUUGUCCAAGGAGCUGUUGAAGUAGACAUUGGUGCAAACCCUUCUGCCGAAGGUUGUGGAGAGGAUGAGGGUGUUGAUGACCAGGCUGUGAAGGUGGUGGACAUUGUUGACACAUUUAGGCUCCAGGUUUUUGUCUGAUUUUACUAUUUGGAUGAGGUUGACUAUUGCGUUUAGGGAAUAUGAAGCUAAUUUAUUACCUUGCAGGAGCAACCUCCUUUUGACAAGAAGCAAUUUGUUGCAUACAUAAAGAAGUAUAUCAAGUUGUUGACGCCAAAGAUAGAUGCAGAGAAGCAAGAGCAUUUUAAGAAGAAUAUUGAGGGCGCAACCAAGUACUUGCUCUCAAAGCUCGGUGACCUCCAAUUGUGAGUGCAACCUCCUUUAAUGCCCCCUCGUUCACUUUUCUUUCUUUUUUUUUUAUUUUUCUGCUUGUAAUUCUUUGGAAGUAUUUGAUUGUUUGAGCACACUGCAAAUUAGAGUUUUUAUACUAAAUGGUCAAGGUUCACUCAUGUUGACAGUUUUGUGGGGGAGAGCAUGGCCGAUGACAGUACCUUGGUGUUUGCUUACUACAAAGAUGGUGCCAUCGAUCCGAC
This 36777-nucleotide long non-coding RNA is filed under the name Coffea arabica (coffee). RNAcentral describes it as "long non-coding RNA (CARA_LNC002072)". Lineage: Eukaryota; Viridiplantae; Streptophyta; Magnoliopsida; Gentianales; Rubiaceae. The record is from RNAcentral.